CGUCCCCUGCGGCGUUCGAAGUGGGUUGGGUUACCCUCUGAGCCUUAAAUUGCAACCCCGGGAGUCCGGCGGGCGUAGAUGGUGUGCAUGUCCGCCCCGUUGCGGAAAGCCUGAUUCUUCGCACCGGUUCCCACCUGAGCCAUUCGGUUCAAGGGAAAAACCCACUACGACGCAAGCGGGGGAUCU
This 186-nucleotide non-coding RNA is filed under the name Methylococcaceae bacterium. RNAcentral's name for it is "6S RNA". It matches the Rfam family "6S / SsrS RNA". Rfam says of the family: E. coli 6S RNA was the first non coding RNA to be sequenced, but its function was unknown until recently. It consists of 184 nucleotides that fold into an extended hairpin structure with a large single-stranded internal bulge. The 6S RNA specifically associates with RNA polymerase holoenzyme containing the sigma70 specificity factor. The record is from RNAcentral. Lineage: Bacteria; Pseudomonadati; Pseudomonadota; Gammaproteobacteria; Methylococcales; Methylococcaceae.